This 400-nucleotide ribosomal RNA is filed under the name phytoplankton environmental sample. RNAcentral describes it as "partial small subunit ribosomal RNA". It matches the Rfam family "Eukaryotic small subunit ribosomal RNA", at positions 587 to 937 of the family's 1831-position model. The record is from RNAcentral.
AGCUCCAGUAGCGUAUGCUAAAGUUGUUGCAGUUAAAAAGCUCGUAGUCGGACUUCGACUGUAUUGGCUGUUAGCUCAGUCAUUCGAGAGGUCACGGACCCGCCGGGACGGCGUUGCGUCCGUCUCUCUACAGUCGUCAUCUCUCGGAAGCUCGCCCUGCACUUCAUUGUGUGGGGAGCGUGCGCUCUCGGGCGCCGAGCUCCGGGUCGUUCGCCGUGAAGAAACUUGAGUGCUCAAAGCAAGCUAUUUCGCCCGAAAAUUUCAGCAUGGGACGAAGGAAUAGGCUCGCAUGCCCGAUUCCGCCGGUCUUGGGGUUUUGAUGCGAGAAUGGUCGAGAGGGGCGAUCGGGGGCACUCGUACCCGGCGGUCAGAGGUGAAAUUCUUGGAUUCGCGGGAGACG